GCUCAGCCAUAAACUUAGAUAUGAUUUUACAACAAAUAUCCGCCCGGGGACUACGAGCAUCAGCUUAAAACCCAAAGGACUUGGCGGUGCUUCAGACCCCCCUAGAGGAGCCUGUUCUAUAACCGAUAAUCCCCGUUAAACCUCACCACUCCUUGCCCCGUACCGCCUAUAUACCACCGUCGCCAGCUUACCCUGUGAAGGCCCAAUAGUAAGCAGGAUGGGUGAACCCCAAAACGUCAGGUCGAGGUGUAGCGUACGAAGUGGGAAGAAAUGGGCUACAUUACUUGAAGCAAAUAAUUACGAAUGGUCACCUUGAAACAGGUACCUGAAGGUGGAUUUAGCAGUAAAGAGAGAGCAGAGUGCCCUCUUGAAGCCGGCUCUGAAGCGCGCACACACCGCCCGUCACUCUCCCCAACAACAAGAUAACUCAGUAAAUAACACAAUUUCAGUAGCAAGGGGAGGCAAGUCGUAACAUGGUAAGUGUACCGGAAGGUGCACUUGGACUAAC
RNAcentral lists this ribosomal RNA (508 nucleotides) under Etrumeus whiteheadi (Whitehead's round herring). Its description in RNAcentral is "partial 12S ribosomal RNA". It matches the Rfam family "Bacterial small subunit ribosomal RNA", at positions 794 to 1527 of the family's 1533-position model. Lineage: Eukaryota; Metazoa; Chordata; Actinopteri; Clupeiformes; Dussumieriidae. The record is from RNAcentral.